GACGAACGCUGGCGGCGUGCUUAACACAUACAAGUCGAACGUGAUUUUUGUGGAAAUUCUUUCGGGAAUGGACAUGAAAUGAAAGUGGCGAACGGGUGAGUAACACGUGAGCACCCUACCUUACACAGGGGGAUAGCCGUUGGAAACGACGAUUAAUACCGCAUGAGACCACAGAAUCGCAUGAUAUAGGGGUCAAAGAUUUAUCGGUGUAAGAAGGGCUCGCGUCUGAUUAGCUAGUUGGAAGGGUAAAGGCCUACCAAGGCGACGAUCAGUAGCCGGUCUGAGAGGAUGAACGGCCACAUUGGAACUGAGACACGGUCCAAACUCCUACGGGAGGCAGCAGUGGGGAAUAUUGCACAAUGGGGGGAACCCUGAUGCAGCGACGCCGCGUGAGCAAAGAAGGUUUUCGAAUCGUAAAGCUCUGUCCUAUGAGAAGAUAAUGACGGUAUCAUAGGAGGAAGCCCCGGCUAAAUACGUG
This 478-nucleotide ribosomal RNA is filed under the name uncultured bacterium. RNAcentral describes it as "partial 16S ribosomal RNA". It matches the Rfam family "Bacterial small subunit ribosomal RNA", at positions 28 to 507 of the family's 1533-position model. The record is from RNAcentral.